AGGAUGAACGCUGGCGGCGUGCCUAACACAUGCAAGUCGAACGCUCUCCAUUCGGUAGCAAUACUGAUGAAGAGGGAGUGGCGAACGGGUGAGUACCACGUGAGCAACCUGCCCCGAAGACUGGGACAACACCGGGAAACCGGUGCUAAUACCGGAUAUCCCUAUCGGAUCGCAUGAUCUGAUAAGGAAAUGGAUUCCGCUUCGGGAGGGGCUCGCGGCCUAUCAGCUAGUUGGUGAGGUAAUAGCUCACCAAGGCAUCGACGGGUAGCUGGUCUGAGAGGACGAUCAGCCACACUGGGACUGAGACACGGCCCAGACUCCUACGGGAGGCAGCAGUGGGGAAUCUUGCGCAAUGGGCGAAAGCCUGACGCAGCAACGCCGCGUGGAGGACGAAUGCUUUCUGAGUUGUAAACUCCUUUCAGCAGGGACGAUUGUGACGGUACCUGCAGAAGAGCACCGGCCAACUACGCG
Molecule: ribosomal RNA, 471 nt
Filed under: uncultured bacterium
Lineage: Bacteria
Description: SSU rRNA
Rfam family: Bacterial small subunit ribosomal RNA
Source: RNAcentral